RNAcentral lists this ribosomal RNA (511 nucleotides) under uncultured bacterium. Its description in RNAcentral is "partial 16S ribosomal RNA". It matches the Rfam family "Bacterial small subunit ribosomal RNA", at positions 355 to 844 of the family's 1533-position model. The record is from RNAcentral.
UGGGGAAUUUUGGACAAUGGGCGAAAGCCUGAUCCAGCCAUGCCGCGUGCAGGAUGAAGGCCUUCGGGUUGUAAACUGCUUUUGUACGGAACGAAAAGACUCUGGGUUAAAUACCUGGGGUCCAUGACGGUACCGUAAGAAUAAGCACCGGCUAACUACGUGCCAGCAGCCGCGGUAAUACGUAGGGUGCAAGCGUUAAUCGGAAUUACUGGGCGUAAAGCGUGCGCAGGCGGUUANAUUAAAGACAGAUGUGAAAAUCCCCGGGGCUCAACCUGGGAACUGCAUUUGUGACUGUAUAGCUAGAGUACGGCAGAGGGGGGAUGGGAAUUUCCGCGUGUAGCAGUGAAAUGCGUAGAUAUGCGGAGGAACACCGAUGGCGAAGGCAAUCCCCUGGGCCUGUACUGACGCUCAUGCACGAAAAGCGUGGGGGAGCAAAACAGGAUUAGAUACCCUGGUAGUCCACGCCCUAAAACGAUGUCAACUGGGUUGUUGGGUCUUUCACUGACUCAGU